GGGUCUAUUAGCUCAGUUGGUUGAGCGUGGUGCUGACAACACCAAGGUCGUGGGUUCGAUUCCUGUUCGGUCCC
Molecule: non-coding RNA, 74 nt
Organism: Apaloderma vittatum (bar-tailed trogon)
Lineage: Eukaryota; Metazoa; Chordata; Aves; Trogoniformes; Trogonidae
Source: Rfam